ACGAACGCUGGCGGCGUGCUUAACACAUGCAAGUCGAACGGAAAGGCCCUGCUUUUGUGGGGUGCUCGAGUGGCGAACGGGUGAGUAACACGUGAGUAACCUGCCCUUGACUUUGGGAUAACUUCAGGAAACUGGGGCUAAUACCGGAUAGGAGCUCCUGCUGCAUGGUGGGGGUUGGAAAGUUUCGGCGGUUGGGGAUGGACUCGCGGCUUAUCAGCUUGUUGGUGGGGUAGUGGCUUACCAAGGCUUUGACGGGUAGCCGGCCUGAGAGGGUGACCGGCCACAUUGGGACUGAGAUACGGCCCAGACUCCUACGGGAGGCAGCAGUGGGGAAGAUUGCACAAUGGGCGGAAGCCUGAUGCAGCAACGCCGCGUGCGGGAUGACGGCCUUCGGGUUGUAAACCGCUUUCGCCUGUGACGAAGCGUGAGUGACGGUAAUGGGUAAAGAAGCACCGGCUAACUACGUG
RNAcentral lists this ribosomal RNA (467 nucleotides) under uncultured bacterium. RNAcentral describes it as "partial 16S ribosomal RNA". It matches the Rfam family "Bacterial small subunit ribosomal RNA", at positions 29 to 507 of the family's 1533-position model. The record is from RNAcentral.